CCUGGCUCAGGAUGAACGCUAGCUACAGGCUUAACACAUGCAAGUCGAGGGGCAGCAUGGUCUUAGCUUGCUAAGGCCGAUGGCGACCGGCGCACGGGUGAGUAACACGUAUCCNACCUGCCGUCUACUCUUGGACAGCCUUCUGAAAGGAAGAUUAAUACAAGAUGGCAUCAUGAGUCCGCAUGUUCACAUGAUUAAAGGUAUUCCGGUAGACGAUGGGGAUGCGUUCCAUUAGAUAGUAGGCGGGGUAACGGCCCACCUAGUCUUCGAUGGAUAGGGGUUCUGAGAGGAAGGUCCCCCACAUUGGAACUGAGACACGGUCCAAGCUCCUACGGGAGGCAGCAGUGAGGAAUAUUGGUCAAUGGGCGAGAGCCUGAACCAGCCAAGUAGCGUGAAGGAUGACUGCCCUAUGGGUUGUAAACUUCUUUUAUAAAGGAAUAAAGUCGGGUAUGGAUACCCGUUUGCAUGUACUUUAUGAAUAAGGAUCGGCUAACUCCGUGCCAGCAGCCGCGGUAAUACGGAGGAUCCGAGCGUUAUCCGGAUUUAUUGGGUUUAAAGGGAGCGUAGAUGGAUGUUUAAGUCAGUUGUGAAAGUUUGCGGCUCAACCGUAAAAUUGCAGUUGAUACUGGAUAUCUUGAGUGCAGUUGAGGCAGGCGGAAUUCGUGGUGUAGCGGUGAAAUGCUUAGAUAUCACGAAGAACUCCGAUGCGAAAGGCAGCCUGCUAAGCUGCAACUGACAUUGAGGCUCGAAAGUGUGGGUAUCAAACAGGAUUAGAUACCCUGGUAGUCCACACGGUAAACGAUGAAUACUCGCUGUUUGCGAUAUACUGCAAGCGGCCAAGCGAAAGCGUUAAGUAUUCCACCUGGGGAGUACGCCGGCAACGGUGAAACUCAAAGGAAUUGACGGGGGCCCGCACAAGCGGAGGAACAUGUGGUUUAAUUCGAUGAUACGCGAGGAACCUUACCCGGGCUUAAAUUGCAGAUGAAUUACGGUGAAAGCCGUAAGCCGCAAGGCAUCUGUGAAGGUGCUGCAUGGUUGUCGUCAGCUCGUGCCGUGAGGUGUCGGCUUAAGUGCCAUAACGAGCGCAACCCUUGUUGUCAGUUACUAACAGGUUCCGCUGAGGACUCUGACAAGACUGCCAUCGUAAGAUGUGAGGAAGGUGGGGAUGACGUCAAAUCAGCACGGCCCUUACGUCCGGGGCUACACACGUGUUACAAUGGGGGGUACAGAGGGCCGCUACCACGCGAGUGGAUGCCAAUCCCCAAAACCUCUCUCAGUUCGGACUGGAGUCUGCAACCCGACUCCACGAAGCUGGAUUCGCUAGUAAUCGCGCAUCAGCCACGGCGCGGUGAAUACGUUCCCGGGCCUUGUACACACCGCCC
Molecule: ribosomal RNA, 1382 nt
Filed under: uncultured bacterium
Lineage: Bacteria
Description: bacterial SSU rRNA
Rfam family: Bacterial small subunit ribosomal RNA
Source: RNAcentral